UAGGGAAUCUUCCACAAUGGACGCAAGUCUGAUGGAGCAACGCCGCGUGAGUGAAGAAGGGUUUCGGCUCGUAAAGCUCUGUUGUUAAAGAAGAACGUGGGUAAGAGUAACUGUUUACCCAGUGACGGUAUUUAACCAGAAAGCCACGGCUAACUACGNGCCAG
This 164-nucleotide ribosomal RNA is filed under the name uncultured bacterium. Its description in RNAcentral is "partial 16S ribosomal RNA". It matches the Rfam family "Bacterial small subunit ribosomal RNA", at positions 355 to 511 of the family's 1533-position model. The record is from RNAcentral.